RNAcentral lists this non-coding RNA (121 nucleotides) under Dichanthelium oligosanthes. RNAcentral describes it as "Bacterial small subunit ribosomal RNA". It matches the Rfam family "Bacterial small subunit ribosomal RNA", at positions 1058 to 1182 of the family's 1533-position model. The record is from Rfam by way of RNAcentral. Lineage: Eukaryota; Viridiplantae; Streptophyta; Magnoliopsida; Poales; Poaceae.
GCUCAUAUGGCCAGUGUUGGGUUAAGCCUUGCAACGAUCACAACCCUCAUGUUUAGUUGUCACUAUGAGUUUGGAACCCUGAACAGACCGCCGGUGUUAAGCCGAAGGAAGGAGAGGAUGA